RNAcentral lists this unclassified non-coding RNA (694 nucleotides) under Hevea brasiliensis (rubber tree). The record is from RNAcentral. Lineage: Eukaryota; Viridiplantae; Streptophyta; Magnoliopsida; Malpighiales; Euphorbiaceae.
GAAAUGUAGCCACUGAAAGAAGCUGUAAGAAGUUAAAAAUAAAUUAAGAGAUGCAACCAAUUUAAUGAGGAUCAGAUUCAUUUUUCAAAGAAUUUAAAACUAUAGGAAAGUGCUUAGUAACAUUAAUACAACUGAUCUCAUUUAAGACAAACACCAUCAGACUAAAUCUGCAAAAACAAUAAGAUCAAGUAAUGACUCUCUUAUUGUGAUGCAGUUCAGUAAAUGGCAUGAAGGUCAUCAUUGUAGUUAUAUCAUAUCUCAUUCAGUAUCAGUGAACAGAGUCUGUUUCUGAAACUAUUGAUUUUGGGUUACUAGCUGAAACUACACAUUGACUAGCAUUACACUGUGCCAGAUGAUAGUGAACUUCUCAAUCUCUUAAAUCCAUAUGGUAAUCCUUUGAGGGGCUACAGUGCAGUGCCAUUUCCAUAUAAGUGAGAGAGCCUCAAAAGCAGAGUGAAGAUUGUCAGUGGACCCAUAAGAAGAUUAUAAGACUUUGAGGUCUACACCUUCAAUCAGCCCAAUAAAUUAUUGAUGUUUGUGGUCAUCUUAAAUAUCCCUUAGAUCCUUUAUAACAAAAUCUUUUCAGUUUUUGGAGUAUCAAAAACUGCAGUCUAAAUUAUAACUAUAGACAAAAUGCAAAUAUUUCCCUUAAAUAUGAGAGAGCAUGUACCUUAAAAGCAUUGGGGAUUGUGGA